Molecule: ribosomal RNA, 406 nt
Filed under: uncultured bacterium
Lineage: Bacteria
Description: partial 16S ribosomal RNA
Rfam family: Bacterial small subunit ribosomal RNA
Source: RNAcentral
AUUGACCGCUGGCGGCAGGCUUAACACAUGCAAGUCGCGCGCGCGGCGGACGGGUGCGUAAUGUCUGGGAACCUGCCUGAUGGAGGGGGAUAACUACUGGAAACGGUAGCUAAUACCGCAUACCAUCAGAUGUGCCCCGCUGGGAUUAGCUAGUAGGUGGGGUAAUGGCUCACCUCGGCGACGAUACCUAGCUGGUCUGAGAGGAUGAACAGACACAAGGGAACUGAGACACGGUCCAUACUCCUACGGGAGGCAGCAGUGGGGAAUAGUGCACAAGGGGCGCAAGCCUGAUACAGCCAUGCCGCGUGUGUGAAGAAGGCCUUCGGGUUGUAAAGCACUUUCAGCGAGGAGGCGUUACUCGCAGAAGAAGCACCGGCUAACUCCGUGCCAGCAGCCGCGGUAAUAC